Molecule: small RNA, 515 nt
Filed under: Arabidopsis thaliana (thale cress)
Lineage: Eukaryota; Viridiplantae; Streptophyta; Magnoliopsida; Brassicales; Brassicaceae
Description: ATSL088100
Source: RNAcentral
GAAUAAGCUAUUAAGGUGCCUAGGACACUAGUAGACACCCAGAAGGAGUUGUAAGGGAGAACGGAAAUUUAAGAUCGGACGAUUUUCAACAGACAAGAUCAGAUCGUAGAAUAGAGAAGGAUUUGCUGCCGCUACUGAAUCAGAGUCCACGGUGCAACAAUUUCUCAUCUGCUCACGAAUUGGAUUCGAACCAAUCAAGCUACUUGCCCUUUAGUAGAUCGUGAGUGGGUCAGUCGUCCUCCUCAUUAUAGUCCUCCUAAAAUCAAUAGCAUUUCGUCGGAAUACAUCCUGUCUUUUCACCUUAGUAGUCCUAUGCAUAGUCAGUACUAUAGCCCCAAUCAUGGCUACUAAUAAAAUAAGACUAGGAACCAAAAACCAGACAGAAUAGUAGGUAUAAAGUAAAUUGCCCAAUGUUUCCAAAUUAGUCCAACUUCGUACCUUUCCGGCAUAAACCGUAUAUCUAAGAGAGGUCGUAUUUCUUUGGGUUGGUAGUAAUGGAAUGCUUUCAUUAUCUA